Molecule: ribosomal RNA, 473 nt
Filed under: Paenibacillus sp. JMT1948
Lineage: Bacteria; Bacillati; Bacillota; Bacilli; Caryophanales; Paenibacillaceae
Description: bacterial SSU rRNA
Rfam family: Bacterial small subunit ribosomal RNA
Source: RNAcentral
UAAUACAUGCAAGUCGAGCGGAUCUUGUCCUUCGGGAUAAGGUUAGCGGCGGACGGGUGAGUAACACGUGGGUAACCUGCCCAUAAGACUGGGAUAACAUUCGGAAACGAAUGCUAAUACCGGAUACGCGAAUUGGUCGCAUGGCCGAAUCGGGAAAGGCGGAGCAAUCUGCCACUUAUGGAUGGACCCGCGGCGCAUUAGCUAGUUGGUGGGGUAACGGCUCACCAAGGCGACGAUGCGUAGCCGACCUGAGAGGGUGAUCGGNCACACUGGGACUGAGACACGGUCCAGACUCCUACGGGAGGCAGCAGUAGGGAAUCUUCGCAAUGGACGAAAGUCUGACGGAGCAACGCCGCGUGAGUGAUGAAGGUUUUCGGAUCGUAAAGCUCUGUUGCCAGGGAAGAACGCUUGCGAGAGUAACUGCUCGCAAGGUGACGGUACCUGAGAAGAAAGCCCCGGCUAACUACGUGCCA